GAACGCUAGCGGCAGGCUUAACACAUGCAAGUCGAGGGGCAGCAUAGAGGUUAGCAAUAACUUCUGAUGGCGACCGGCGCAAGGGUGCGUAACGCGUGAGCAACUUGCCCUUAUCAGGGGGAUAACCAAUGGAAACGUUGACUAAUACCCCAUAGUAUAACAUCAAGGCAUCUUUUUGUUAUUAAAGAAUUUCGGAUAAGGAUAGGCUCGCGUGACAUUAGCUAGAUGGCGGGGUAACGGCCCACCAUGGCGACGAUGUCUAGGGGUUCUGAGAGGAAGGUCCCCCACACUGGAACUGAGACACGGUCCAGACUCCUACGGGAGGCAGCAGUGAGGAAUAUUGGUCAAUGGUCUGACGACUGAACCAGCCAUGCCGCGUGAAGGUCACGGCCCUAUGGGUCUUAAACUUCUUUUGUAAGGGAGCAAUAAGUCUCACGUGUGGGAUGAUGAGAGUACCUUACGAAUAAGCAUCGGCUAACUCCGUG
This 485-nucleotide ribosomal RNA is filed under the name uncultured bacterium. RNAcentral describes it as "bacterial SSU rRNA". It matches the Rfam family "Bacterial small subunit ribosomal RNA", at positions 31 to 507 of the family's 1533-position model. The record is from RNAcentral.